Molecule: long non-coding RNA, 1747 nt
Organism: Pipra filicauda (Wire-tailed manakin)
Lineage: Eukaryota; Metazoa; Chordata; Aves; Passeriformes; Pipridae
Exons: 2
Source: RefSeq, a predicted model, not a curated record
CAGUGGGGGAAUUUGUGUGUGCGCGAGGAUGAAUGUUAGCGAAAAAUAACGACAAUAAAAUUUAGCUUUGUAAAGCACUGUAAGCAAAGUACCGAUCGAUCACAGGAAGAAGCAGAAACCUCUCUCUGCUCAGGUAUCGCAGCUGCCCGGUGAGCAGCUCUGCAUUCUGAGGCACAGAUAGCUGCCUCUCUUCCCAGCAGUUCCUUCAGGAAUGGAUCACUGCGUUUUAAAAGAAAUAAAAUGAAUAUGUGGGAUUAGUCCAGAAAUACGGCUGCAACAGGCAAUUUUUAGUCAGGAAAGCAAACAGCAGAGUCCAGACUGCACCAGGCCGCGAAUGGUCUUUGCCGUGUUGUACCCAGCGAGCCCCAGCGAAUCAACGUGUUCAAGGCUGCCAGCCCUUGUCAAGAAUAGCCGACUAAAGUUGGCCGGAAGAGGGAUGCAAUUCGUUUUUAUUUCUACACCAAGGAGGAGUUUGUAUGAAGCAGCAGUAUAUUAAGAUGCAAAAAGUUACUCAAAUGGAAAACAAAAAACAACAUAGGUGUUGUAAAGCAGAUGGGAAAAGGGAGUAAAAGCAUGCGUCAAAAGCAUGCUCAAGAGCUCUGUCUCUCUCAGUGCUCAAGCUAUUUCUUCCCAUCUUUUUAAAGAAGUUAACAACACACUACCCAAUAAGGCUAUAAAAGGAUUUUUCAGCUCAGUGGAGUUUGUCUAAUUCAGGAUCUGGUUAGACCAUAGUAUAAUGGCAAUACAAGAAAUUACUCCACGUCCCCGAAGCCACAUAAUCACUUGUAAUCCACCCUGAGCACAAGGCAGUGACUAAACCCUUUUCUGGGGAGGUCUCUUACCUCAAGCAUAGGACGGCCAGCAACCAGCACUGUGACAGCUAUGACUGUUCAGCUGAUAGAAGCCAGCAAAGCAACCCUGAUUCCACUUGGAAUUUGACAUUCAUUGCAAUCCUCACCUACUGUAGGAAACACCUAACACUGCCCACUUAUUCCAAGCAAGUCCAGCUACUACCUCCCCUGAAGAUCCCAAAGCAGAGUGCUGAAUACCUGCUAAGCACAAAGCGUGGUACACAGUCACAAGCAAACCCAGAGGUUACUCAUUGUGAACUGAGUAUAUAAUUUGGCAUUUAGUUUGAUAUGAUAUAAUAUUCACACAUUAGACAAUUUUUCAAUUAUGAGUUAAGUAUUUUGCAGUAUCUUGAGGAGAUGAAGAGAAGCAUUUAAUUUUCCAGAAGUUAUAAAAGGUGCUUGCUGUUUCGGUAAUGAAUUCAGUCCUCUAACUCACCUCAAGUAAUAAAACUGGACAUAUGCGUGCUUGUUUGUAAAUAAUCUGUAGCAAGUCAUCUUCAAAACCUGUACUUCAGGACUUCUGAAUGUUAGGUGUCUAUAUCACUUCCACAGGCAGUUAAAACCAUGUUACCCUCUUGUAACCCUCUGUGUUCUCAUGGUAACAUCACUGAUGUUUGUGGAUAACCUCCAAACACUUGAAAUAUUCAUACUGCAAGCCCUUACAGUUGUUAAUAAGAAAAUAACUAAAGACUUCAGUCUUUACCUUCUUUACACUGAGACCAAGUUCAUUUUUGAAGAAACCCAGUCUGUUAUCCAGUCUUUCCACUGAAAACAACAGCAGAUAUGGAGCUCUCGAGACCAUCUGAGCAAUUUCUGACUUACCAAAUUUUUUUGAUUUUAGGUAAGCCACUCUAGAAAGAGAACAAAAACAAAAUAAAAUCCAGUGAUGAAAAUUU